GGUGGCAUGGCCAAGCGGUAAGGCAGAGGUCUGCAAAACCUCCAUCCCCAGUUCAAAUCUGGGUGCCACCU
RNAcentral lists this transfer RNA (71 nucleotides) under Limnothrix sp. RL_2_0. Its description in RNAcentral is "tRNA-Cys". It matches the Rfam family "tRNA". Rfam says of the family: Transfer RNA (tRNA) molecules are approximately 80 nucleotides in length. Their secondary structure includes four short double-helical elements and three loops (D, anti-codon, and T loops). RNAcentral also lists the same sequence under 1 other name. The record is from RNAcentral. Lineage: Bacteria; Bacillati; Cyanobacteriota; Cyanophyceae; Pseudanabaenales; Pseudanabaenaceae.